GGAGAUUUAGCUCAGUGGUAGAGUGCUUGCCUAGCAAGCGCAAGGCCCUGGGUUUGGUCCCCAGCUCCA
Non-coding RNA from Rattus norvegicus (Norway rat), 69 nucleotides. NCBI's taxonomy places the organism in Eukaryota, Metazoa, Chordata, Mammalia, Rodentia, Muridae. The record is from Rfam.